This 65-nucleotide small nucleolar RNA is filed under the name Escherichia coli O157:H7 str. EC4206. The record is from RNAcentral. RNAcentral also lists the same sequence under 10 other names. Lineage: Bacteria; Pseudomonadati; Pseudomonadota; Gammaproteobacteria; Enterobacterales; Enterobacteriaceae.
AAAGAUGAUAAUAUUUAUUAUUGCUAUUAUAAUCAUUGUUGUUUUAUGCGUAAUUACUUAUCUUU